Molecule: unclassified non-coding RNA, 2072 nt
Filed under: Dermacentor andersoni
Lineage: Eukaryota; Metazoa; Arthropoda; Arachnida; Ixodida; Ixodidae
Description: homeobox protein extradenticle-like
Source: RNAcentral
UGACUGGCAUUAUCGUUCAACCCACCCUGAAGCCGCUCGCUGUCCGUCAAAAGUAUUCCAAUCAAAACACUCAAUUACAGUUGGUUUAGCGUAGCGUGAGUGCGGACUUAUGGAUGGUGGUGCUCCGGGAGCCGUGGCUGACGCCGUGUGAGGCCUACCGCUGGUGUUUGUAGCCGGGCCGCCCGUGAAAAAGGUGCUUCCGAGCGAUGGACGAGCAACAAAGAAUGAUGCACCCAGUAUCACAACAUCCCAUCGUGAGCAUGGCGGGCCAUGUCGUGCCCCAGCAUGGUUACGGAAUGCCUCCGCAAUCGCACGGUGUCGACCCGACGGGCCAACAGGCCGCACCCGACCAGGAGCCGAGGAAGCACGACAUUUCGGAAAUUCUCCAACAGAUCAUGAACAUCACCGACCAGAGCUUGGACGAAGCGCAAGCUAGGAAACACACGCUCAACUGCCACCGAAUGAAGCCCGCUCUCUUCAGCGUCCUCUGCGAAAUCAAAGAGAAAACAGUGCUGAGCUUACGGAACACGCAAGAGGAAGAGCCCCCCGACCCGCAGCUGAUGCGGCUGGACAACAUGCUGAUCGCCGAGGGCGUGGCGGGACCCGAGAAGGGCGGCGGCGCCGGCGCGGCCGCCAAUGCCUCAGCCGCCGCCUCGGCCGGCGGACAGCCCGAAAACGCCAUCGAGCACUCCGACUACCGGGCCAAACUGGCGCAAAUCCGCCAGAUCUACCACCAGGAGCUCGAGAAGUACGAGCAGGCGUGCAACGAGUUCACGACGCACGUGAUGAACCUGCUGCGCGAGCAGAGCCGGACGCGUCCCAUCACGCCGAAGGAGAUCGAGCGCAUGGUCCAGAUAAUCCACAAGAAGUUCAAUUCCAUCCAGGUGCAGCUCAAGCAGAGCACCUGCGAAGCCGUCAUGAUCCUCCGCUCCAGGUUCCUCGACGCCAGGCGGAAGAGGCGGAACUUCAGCAAGCAGGCGACGGAGAUCCUGAACGAGUACUUCUACUCGCACCUUAGCAACCCGUACCCGUCGGAGGAAGCCAAGGAGGAACUCGCAAGGAAGUGCGGCAUCACUGUCUCUCAGGUGUCUAAUUGGUUCGGCAACAAGCGGAUACGAUACAAGAAGAACAUAGGGAAAGCGCAAGAAGAGGCCAAUCUCUACGCAGCAAAAAAGGCAUUCCCGAAAAAGAAAACAGACAGACAUACGGCCGGCGCGUCAGCCUACAGCAUGGUGCCGACGACGCAGGGUCAGCAGGGUCCUAUGAUAAGCCCACCGCCGCCGGGAGCGCCGCAGGACUCAAUGUACAACAUGAGUAUGAACGGCGGAGACUCCUACCAGAACGCCAUGGGCGCCAACGUGCAAUCGCAGCUCUGCAAUUUGGAGACGUGGGCCUGAGGCAGCGGCGGCGGCGAUCGUUGAUGAUGGCUCGCGGGAUGAAGCUCGCCUCUGCUCUUUGGCAGCGCCAGUGUCGCGUCGUCGUCGCCUGCCGACCUAACCGCCGGCUUUUUGUAAAGACAGAAAGACACGUUACGCGGGAGUCGCCCCCCUCCCCCUCCCAUCCCCACCUUGCCUCCGUUUCCUUCUUGCCCCUUUCUUUUUUUUCCCUCGCCUCUGCGUCGGCCCAGGAAAAGAAUGCAAAAGAAAGGGGGAAGCGAAGGAAACCACCAAAUGCAAAUACGGACACCAGUGUGCACGCGUGCGUGUGUUUGUUCUCUGCGUGUCUCUGUGUGCGUGCGUGCUCGCGCAACUCUGCCAAGUUUCGGCGAAACGAAGACAGAGUGGGGAGAAGACGACGGGACAUCGUCGCAUCGGCGCUCCCUGCAAACGGCAGGCAAAAGCGAGGAGGCGCGCUGGCUGGGAACGUGGCGCUGUUCCCUUCUGUGAAGAAAAUGGCGGAGCGUGCGCGGCCCGCGUCGACCUGCCUGCAAGUUCUGCGCGCCGGACCGACGCGAGACCACCGUGCCCGAGGAGGAGGAGGUCCCCACCCACAUCAUCCCCGUGCGACGCGACGACCACCACCGCCGCUGCUGACCCUGCGUGCUGCCGCAGCUCGAACCCCGAGUGGGGAAG